This 460-nucleotide ribosomal RNA is filed under the name uncultured bacterium. RNAcentral's name for it is "partial 16S ribosomal RNA". It matches the Rfam family "Bacterial small subunit ribosomal RNA", at positions 338 to 795 of the family's 1533-position model. The record is from RNAcentral.
CCUACGGGUGGCUGCAGUGAGGAAUAUUGGUCAAUGGCCGAGAGGCUUAACCAGCCAAGUCGCGUGAGGGAAGAAUGUCCUAUGGAUUGUAAACCUCUUUUGUCAGGGAGCAAAGUCACCCACGUGUGGGUGUUGGAGAGUACCUGAAGAAAAAGCAUCGGCUAACUCCGUGCCAGCAGCCGCGGUAAUACGGAAGGUCCGGGCGUUCACCGGAUUUAUUGGGUUUAAAGGGAGCGUAGGCCGCAUGUCAAGCGUGCUGUGAAAUGUCCGGGCACAACCCGGGCCGUGCAGCGCGAACUGGCGUGCUUGAGUCCGCGGAAAGCAGGCGGAAUGCGUGGUGUAGCGGUGAAAUGCAUAGAUAUCACACAGAACACCGAUUGCGAAGGCAUCUCACGAAUCCGCGAUUGACGCUGAUGCACGAAAGCGUGGGUAUCAAACAGGAUUAGAUACCCGAGUAGUC